Non-coding RNA from Triticum urartu, 729 nucleotides. Lineage: Eukaryota; Viridiplantae; Streptophyta; Magnoliopsida; Poales; Poaceae. The record is from RefSeq and is a predicted model, not a curated record.
GUUGUAAAUACUAUAUUUGCGGGUGUGCAGUUUGUGAUUCUCUAUUCAUGAUAUUUAGAUAGAUCGGAUUCGUUCCUUUAUAGCAUACACGGACUUGAAUUAUUUUGUCAUUGAUGAAUAUGCAUAAUGUACUUUAAUUUGUUGAGAUUUCAAAUGAGGUCGUAGGAAUCAAAAUGGAACUCUCAUGUGGCUGAUAUCGGUUUUAUAUUAUAUUUUUAGAUGAAAUUUCUAUAUUUACUUAUCUCAAGAUAUAUUUGAUUUCAUUUUUGUCUCUUGAGACAAGGAGCGAGCAAACUGUUGAUUUUGCAGAGAACAAUUGUCACUGAAUUGCUUUCAAGGCGGAUGUUCCAUAGACAAACAAGCAUGCAAUCAACACUGCAUGAUUUCAAUUGGUUUCCAAUCCUGGAGAGAAGGAACGAUAUGAGCUAAAAGAUGCAGAAAAAGAGGAUUAGGCCCGCAGAUUGUUAUCAAGGAGAACAUUGAGCUAUGAGGGUGUUUUUUCGGGCAACACCGGCGAUGGUCUCAGCAGCUAUAUGAUGGUGAACUGUAGUUGUCGUAAUAUUCUAAGAAAUAUAUUAUGAUUAAUUUUUACUUACCUAUCCGAUUUUUUUCAUUGCGAUGAUCUGAUAGGCCCCAUAUAGGUGUCUGGAUUGUAAUAGGUAUUUUUCUGGGUUAAGAAGGAAGAAUGUUUCGGGUGUUCAUUAAGAUUAUUCUUGAUUGGUGAACUGC